This 764-nucleotide long non-coding RNA is filed under the name Homo sapiens (human). RNAcentral's name for it is "long non-coding RNA NONHSAT156256". Lineage: Eukaryota; Metazoa; Chordata; Mammalia; Primates; Hominidae. The record is from RNAcentral.
GGCUGGUGCCAGGCUCUGCUCAGGAUGAGGCUGUCCAGAGCCUUCGCUUGGGCACUGCUGUGCAGUACAGGUAAUGUGUGGCCCCCGAGCCCUCUGUCCUGGGCUUCUCUUUGCUUUCCUGUUCCACUCUGAGGUUGUUGUAGUUUGCUUUUUGCAUAGGAAGAAGCUCAUGGCUGAUUGGCUGUGAGAUACUCUCCUCCAUACAAAAUGUGUCACUUUCCCCUUAGUACUGGAGGAGGAAGGGACAGACAGGGAUUGUUCUGGUCACUAGGCUGAUGUCAGCAUGAUUUUUAAUGUUUCUCAGCUCUUGGAUCUAUGGGCCUCUUCCUUGCCUUAAGCAACUUAGGCUGAGAUUCUACGGGGGGCAAGCCAGAAGUGGCUGAGAGAAUGAGACACGGUCUUGCUUUGGAGGCGUUCCAGGUGGUGUGAGCAUCUGCCAAUGCUCCCCUGGCUCAUGCAAGCCUGGCUCUGCACAUGUUGGGCAGAGGCUGCACCUGUGACUGCAGAAAUAAGAUUGAGCCACAGUUUUCCUGCAUCAGCCUUGGGUGAGGGAGAAGGAGUAUGACCCAGUAACCCUUCCAGAAACAUACAUGGAUUCUGUUCCAGCAUUUCUGUACACCUACUUCUUUGGGGUCAGUAGGUCAGAUGUGAAAACUAUUCUAUCGUUCCUGUCCUUUUGAUAUUGGAGCAUGUGUCUGUUAGACUCUAUCUUCUUCCUCUUUGUUGAUCUUAUUAUAAGCCCUAUGGCAUUUCCCAAUGUAUUU